GACGAACGCUGGCGGCGUGCCUAAUACAUGCAAGUCGAGCGGACUUUCAAGAAGCUUGCUUUUUGAAAGUUAGCGGCGGACGGGUGAGUAACACGUGGGCAACCUGCCUGCAAGACGGGGAUAACUCCGGGAAACCGGGGCUAAUACCGGAUAAUAUCUUCCUUCGCAUGAAGGAAGGUUGAAAGGCGGCGCAAGCUGCCGCUUGCAGAUGGGCCCGCGGCGCAUUAGCUAGUUGGUGAGGUAACGGCUCACCAAGGCGACGAUGCGUAGACGACCUGAGAGGGUGAUCGGCCACACUGGGACUGAGACACGGCCCAGACUCCUACGGGAGGCAGCAGGAGGGAAUCUUCCGCAAUGGACGAAAGUCUGACGGAGCAACGCCGCGGGAGCGAAGAAGGGCUUCGGAUCGUAAAGCUCUGUUGUCAGGGAAGAACAAGUACCGUUCGAACAGGGCGGUACCUUGACGGUACCUGAACAGAAAGCCACGGCUAACUACGUG
This 499-nucleotide ribosomal RNA is filed under the name uncultured bacterium. RNAcentral describes it as "partial 16S ribosomal RNA". It matches the Rfam family "Bacterial small subunit ribosomal RNA", at positions 28 to 507 of the family's 1533-position model. The record is from RNAcentral.